Molecule: ribosomal RNA, 374 nt
Filed under: uncultured organism
Description: partial 16S ribosomal RNA
Rfam family: Bacterial small subunit ribosomal RNA
Source: RNAcentral
GUAGGGUGCAAGCGUUAAUCGGAAUUACUGGGCGUAAAGCGUGCGCAGGCGGUUUUGUAAGUCUGUCGUGAAAGCCCCGGGCUCAACCUGGGAAUUGCGAUGGAGACUGCAAGGCUUGAAUCUGGCAGAGGGGGGUAGAAUUCCACGUGUAGCAGUGAAAUGCGUAGAGAUGUGGAGGAACACCGAUGGCGAAGGCAGCCCCCUGGGUCAAGAUUGACGCUCAUGCACGAAAGCGUGGGGGGAGCAAACAGGAUUAGAUACCCUGGUAGUCCACGCCCCUAAACGAUGUCUACUAGUUGUCGGGUUUUAAAUUAACCUUGGUAACGCAGCUAACGCGUGAAGUAGACCGCCUGGGGAGUACGGUCGCAAGAUUA